This 516-nucleotide ribosomal RNA is filed under the name uncultured bacterium. RNAcentral describes it as "partial 16S ribosomal RNA". It matches the Rfam family "Bacterial small subunit ribosomal RNA", at positions 28 to 523 of the family's 1533-position model. The record is from RNAcentral.
GACGAACGCUGGCGGCGUGCCUAACACAUGCAAGUCGAACGGAGUGUUUAUUUAUAAACACUUAGUGGCGAACGGGUGAGUAACGCGUAGACAACCUACCCUCUAGAUGGGGACAACACCGCGAAAGUGGUGCUAAUACCGAAUGUUGUAAUGUUGUUGCAUAAUGAUAUUACUAAAGGUGGCCUCUAUAUAAAAGCUACCGCUAGAAGAUGGGUCUGCGUCUGAUUAGCUAGUUGGUGAGAUAACAGCUCACCAAGGCAAUGAUCAGUAGCCGAUCUGAGAGGAUGAACGGCCACACUGGGACUGAGACACGGCCCAGACUCCUACGGGAGGCAGCAGUGGGGAAUCUUCCGCAAUGGACGAAAGUCUGACGGAGCGACGCCGCGUGAGUGAAGAAGGUUUUCGGAUCGUAAAGCUCUGUCUUCAAGGACGAAUGUAGAUAUUGUGAAUAAUGAUAUUUAAUGACGGUACUUGAGGAGGAAGCCACGGCUAACUACGUGCCAGCCGCCGCGGUAA